GGUGAGUAAUGUCUGGGAAACUGCCUGAUGGAGGGGGAUAACUACUGGAAACGGUAGCUAAUACCGCAUAACGUCGCAAGACCAGAGAGGGGGACCUUCGGGCCUCUUGCCAUCGGAUGUGCCCAGAUGGGAUUAGCUAGUAGGUGGGGUAACGGCUCACCUAGGCGACGAUCCCUAGCUGGUCUGAGAGGAUGACCAGCCACAUUGGAACUGAGACACAGUCCAG
This 226-nucleotide ribosomal RNA is filed under the name uncultured Enterobacterales bacterium. Its description in RNAcentral is "partial 16S ribosomal RNA". It matches the Rfam family "Bacterial small subunit ribosomal RNA", at positions 105 to 334 of the family's 1533-position model. Lineage: Bacteria; Pseudomonadati; Pseudomonadota; Gammaproteobacteria; Enterobacterales. The record is from RNAcentral.